GUCUAUUGAUGUUCCAUACAUGCAAGUUUCCAUCUCCUGAACCUUCAACAUGAACACAAAGCAUCUUACUUCUAAUAUCAACAUGGCUACUGGUUCACACUGUGAGAUCCACUUAGUCCAGACUUGGCGUAUUCACCUAGUAUACAGGUAAAAAUAUUUCAGUAAUUAGUUAUGAAUGGCAGCCCUGUGGAGUAUAGUUUCAUUGAAGGAACUAGUUUAACAACAACAACAACAACCGCCCAGUAUAAUCUCACUUAGUGGGGGGUCUGGGGAGGGUAGUGUCUAUGCAGACCAUACCCCUACCCUAGGGUAGAGAGGCUAUUUCCAAAUAGACCAUGACAUCAUUCCCUCCAAGAACUUCCCACCUUGCUCUUGGGGAGACUCGAACUCACAACCUCUCGGUUGAAACUGAAGGUUGCUUACAAUCCGAUAUGGACAAGAAUGUGGCAAAGAAAAAUCACAAAGGACGAUCGAAAGAAAAAGAGAAAAAAUAAAAAGAAAGAAUUGUAAACAACUUCUAGUUAUAUCCUUUCUGAUAAAAUCAGUGAAUGGGGAACUGCAACCAGUGGCCGAUAAAACACUUUGUACCAGAGUAUCUGAAGAACUAGAGAGAGAGAAAUAUAGAAUAAAAUAUUCCACUCUUGUUAGGAUCAAAUCAUAUUUAAUAAACUGUUUCAUAACUUUCACAUAUUAUGGCAUACUUCGCAACAUGUAUGAGGUGGAUAUUAAUGUCUCACAUAUCAGAGGUUACUUAUUCACAUUCAUGAAAGUAAAUUAGCAUUCAUUAAGCAAGGAUGGUCAUGCUUACUUGUUCAAAUAACUGCGCACAAUGUAAUUUCGCAGAACUUCCAUAUCAUGCUAUUCAUCAUCAGUAGUUAAAAUGCUCUAAAU
This 891-nucleotide long non-coding RNA is filed under the name Nicotiana benthamiana. Its description in RNAcentral is "long non-coding RNA (NBEN_LNC010891)". Lineage: Eukaryota; Viridiplantae; Streptophyta; Magnoliopsida; Solanales; Solanaceae. The record is from RNAcentral.